GCCAAGAUCGUGCCAUUGCACUCCAGUUUGGGCAACAAGAGUGAAACUCCGCCUCAAAAAAAAAAAAAAGAAAACAAAUUUGGCUAAGGAACUAAAAGUUCCAACUUGCCACAGCGUGGGGCUCAGCUGGAUCCAGGCCUUGUUUCCUCCACCCCUGGCUUGGUUUUCCUCUGUGGGCUCCAUUCUUGGGUGUCCAGUCCAGCCUGAGGAUGGCAGCAUGGCAGCCCUUGGCUCAGGUUUCAUUUUCUUUCUUUCUUUUUUUUUUUUUUUGAGAGGGAGUCUCACUCCAUUGCCGAGGCUGGAGUGCAGUGGCACAAUCUCAGCUCACUGCAGCCUCCACCUCCCGGGUUCAAGCAGUUCUCUCCUGUCUCAGCCUCCCGAGUAGCUGGGAUUAGAGGCAUCUGCCUCUACGCCCGGCUAAGUUUUGUAAUUUUAGUAGAGACGGAGUUUCACCAUGUUGGCCAGGCUGGUCUCUAACUCCUGACUUCAGGUGGAUCACAAGGUCAGGAGUUCGAGACCAGUGUGGCCUACAUGGUGAAACCCCCAUCUCUACUAAAAAUACAAAAAAAUUAGCCAGGUGUGGUGGUGGGCACCUGUAAUCCCAGCUACUCAGGAGACUGAGGCAGGAAAAUUGCUUGAACUCCAGAGGCGGAGGUUGCAGUGAGCCGAGAUCACACCACUGCAUUCGAGCCUGGACAACAGAGC
Molecule: long non-coding RNA, 705 nt
Filed under: Homo sapiens (human)
Lineage: Eukaryota; Metazoa; Chordata; Mammalia; Primates; Hominidae
Description: HSALNT0196370
Source: RNAcentral